This 1076-nucleotide long non-coding RNA is filed under the name Marmota monax (woodchuck). Lineage: Eukaryota; Metazoa; Chordata; Mammalia; Rodentia; Sciuridae. The record is from RNAcentral.
GGAAAGACCACAUCCAUGGACAGCGUGGGGACCUUCUAAGAGCUGGCCAGCAAGGACCUGGCCACAGGGCAUCGGGCGGAGGCAGUGCAGCCGUGAGCCUGCAGCGGGCACAGCUGCUGCUGACGGACCCCCAGACCCUGGAGGGACAUGCCCAGCGCACCUCAGCCCCAGGCAGUGUCAGGGGACCUGGAGCCAGCACAGUCCACGGGGCCAGCCCGGACACGGAGAGACCAGCCCCCAAAGGGCCCUCCUGGCGAGCUGCAGGUCCCACACCUAGGGAAGCCGAGCUCCCACCUGCACCCCACUUGCACCCCAGCAAGCCCCUCGCGGCCAUUACCUGUGCCGUGCCUGCCGCCGCCUCUGUCCACCGCCUCCAGCCCCAUCCUCAGUGGCACCGCUGCCAACCGGCUGCGCCUCCCAACCCGGGCUGCCGGCGACUUGCGGUGGUUGUAUCGUGGGGUUUGGCCCGUGCCGCCACUGGCACUCGGCGAUGGCAAGCGUCCAUCUUCCUGCACACCCGUCCUUCACCUCCGCUGCCUCCCGGUGCCCUCAGAGUCCCCGCGGUGCCCGCUCGGAGGGGAGUUGGCACGGACGGAGCCCAACCCGCCUCUGCAGCUGAGUGUAGCCGGCUCCUUUUUUGUGUAUUUUAAACACACACGCACACUCUUUCACACGCACACACGCCAAGCCCCCCACCCCCAACAACACGCAUCCCUUCUGUCGGGAGCAGACCCAGCCAAGAAAGCCCCGAGCAGGCGGGGAGGAGAGGGGGCCUCCGAGCGGUGGAAACCAGCCCCAUGCUCCUGCCUCCUGUGCCCAUCGCGCGCCCCUGGCGCCCCCGCUUACGAAAACCACCAGGAAGGAAAAAGAGGACUCACAUCCGAGUCAUACCUCGGAGCCUCCGAUCGGGUCACCUCCCUCCCAGCCCCGUGCUUCAGAGCAGGCUCUGGCCCCACCGCCUGCUUCCCACCACUGACCCUCCUAGCCACACCCCCGUCCUGCGGCCGUGGUGGGCACGCCGGCUCCCCCGCACUCCUGGCCGUGACGGGUGUUUAUCGAGUGCCAGCCCCGCUGCA